This 751-nucleotide long non-coding RNA is filed under the name Salmo salar (Atlantic salmon). Its description in RNAcentral is "lncRNA (ENSSSAG00000113123.1, ENSSSAG00020083055.1, ENSSSAG00075031425.1)". Lineage: Eukaryota; Metazoa; Chordata; Actinopteri; Salmoniformes; Salmonidae. The record is from RNAcentral.
CCUUUGUGAUCCAGGAUAUUCCUCUUUAGAAUCUUUUUCAUUUUGGUGCUUGUGAUGGCAGACGUGCAGAGAUGUGCCAUAACCUGGUAAUGUAGCACAUCCCUGGGGCCGAACCUGAGCUUGUCCUCCUCAACCACUACUACGAAGAGCUUGACUGCAUCGCCCUAUCUGACAUGGCCUGCUCUGAGAAUAGCUGCUGGAGAAGUUGGGCUUCUACAAGAAGGCUCAGCCUGAGGAUGAGGUCCCAGUGGUGUUCUGCUUCUCCCCGCCAAGCACAGCCCCUUCAAAAGCACCCCCAAGUCCCCGUCCUCCCCCUCCUCAGCCCCCACAGACAACGCUUCCUCAGAGUCCGACGCAGAGGCCAAACACUCUGACCUAUAACCCUCACAGCAGUAAAGAGGAGUGUGUACCUGGACAGACAGGCCUACUCUCCCCCAGGUCUGGUCCAAGACCAGUUUGUUUCUGCAUCUCAUAACAGAAAUGUUUGGGAUCAGAAUGACAGGCAGGUCCUGGAUUAGCACUUGGGGGAGCAUCAGCAUAGGUUUUGAAGGUCACACUAAAAUUGAUUUACCACAAAGUGUCAAGUAUGGGGUCUCUCUGCUGAUCUCGUGUGUAAAAUGACUUCCUGUACACUGUGGAACUGAAUGACGCCUCGAGCUGUAAAACCUCCUGGUUGGCUUGUGGCUGAUGUAACGUGUCCAGGUGUGUGGGGCUUAGGCACAAGGGGAUUCAAGUGAAGGGGAUGACAAAU